RNAcentral lists this ribosomal RNA (253 nucleotides) under uncultured bacterium. RNAcentral describes it as "partial 16S ribosomal RNA". It matches the Rfam family "Bacterial small subunit ribosomal RNA", at positions 524 to 776 of the family's 1533-position model. The record is from RNAcentral.
UACAGAGGUCCCAAGCGUUGUUCGGAUUCAUUGGGCGUAAAGGGUGCGUAGGUGGCGCCGUAAGUGGGGUGUGAAAUUUCGGAGCUUAACUCCGAAACUGCAUUCCAUACUGCGGUGCUUGAGGACUGGAGAGGAGACUGGAAUUCAUGGUGUAGCAGUGAAAUGCGUAGAGAUCAUGAGGCAGACCAGUGGCGCAGGCGGGUCUCUGGACAGUUCCUGACACUGAGGCACGAAGGCCAGGGGAGCGAACGGG